Molecule: ribosomal RNA, 519 nt
Filed under: uncultured bacterium
Lineage: Bacteria
Description: bacterial SSU rRNA
Rfam family: Bacterial small subunit ribosomal RNA
Source: RNAcentral
GAUUCUGGCUCAGGACGAACGCUGGCGGCGUGCCUAACACAUGCAAGUCGAGCGGGGACAUUGCGACGGAGGCGAAGUACUCGUACGGAGUCAAAGAUGUAAUGUUCUAGCGGCGGACGGGUGAGUAACGCGUGAGCAACCUGUCCCUUACAGGGGGAUAACACAGCGAAAGUUGUACUAAUACCGCAUAAGACCACAGGAUGACAUCGUCCAGGGGUCAAAGGAGCAAUCCGGUAAGGGGUGGGCUCGCGUCCGAUUAGAUAGUUGGUGAGGUAACGGCCCACCAAGUCGACGAUCGGUAGCCGACCUGAGAGGGUGAUCGGCCACAUUGGGACUGAGACACGGCCCAAACUCCUACGGGAGGCAGCAGUGGGGAAUAUUGGGCAAUGGGGGGAAACCCUGACCCAGCAACGCCGCGUGAGGGAAGAAGGUUUUCGGAUCGUAAACCUCUGUCCCAGGUGAAGAGGAAGAGACGGUAGCCUGGGAGGAAGCCCCGGCUAACUACGUGCCAGCCGCCGC